AUACGGAGGGUGCGAACGUUAAUCGGAAUUACUGGGCGUAAAGCGCACGUAGGCGGUUUGUUAAGUGGGAUGUGAAAGCCCCGGGCUCAACCUGGGAAUUGCAUUCCAAACUGGCAGACUAGAGUGCAGUAGAGGGAGGUAGAAUUUCCUGUGUAGCGGUGAAAUGCGUAGAUAUAGGAAGGAAUACCAGUGGCGAAGGCGGCCUCCUGGACUGACACUGACGCUGAGGUGCGAAAGCGUGGGGAGCAAACAGGAUUAGAAACCCCGGUAGUCC
Molecule: ribosomal RNA, 274 nt
Filed under: uncultured bacterium
Lineage: Bacteria
Description: partial 16S ribosomal RNA
Rfam family: Bacterial small subunit ribosomal RNA
Source: RNAcentral